Anneissia japonica is the source of this 798-nucleotide long non-coding RNA. RefSeq lists it as uncharacterized. The record is from RefSeq and is a predicted model, not a curated record. The transcript has 3 exons. Lineage: Eukaryota; Metazoa; Echinodermata; Crinoidea; Comatulida; Comatulidae.
GUCGCCAGUUAAGAGGAUUACUAUAUAUCAUUUGUCUUCUUUUCGCAGACAAUUCUCAGCAGAAAGAAACAUACACUUGGCAAAGGAAAAGCAGGUAAAAAAGAAAUUGAAAUUCUUACCGAAUACGAAAAUAGCUCUCAAGGAAUCUUAGAAGUGGUGGGACUACAGCAGACGCUCAACAUUGCAGUUGUGUUUGUGAAAGCAGAUUUAACAGUCAAUUGUUUGUAUUACAUGACGUUUGCUAUUAUUGUGACGUCUAUAUUUGCACAGGCAUUACUGGCGAUUUUAGUGGGUGCAAAAAUAUGGACACGAAAGGAUAUUAAACUUUUAAAACCUUUAAGGAUGAUGGCAAAUAAUGAUGGAACAAUAGAAGAUAAGAUCUUAAUGAAGCAAAAACGUUUGCGAUUGUUGGACUUCUUGUCACUGUUUCUAACGAUUAUUAUAACAUUUUUAACAACUGUAUUGCUUGCAACUUCCGGUAUGGUCGACUCCAGGUUCAAAGAUGAAGGUGCUAGAGACAUCUCACCGACAGAAUCAGUGGACUGAACGUAUCUUAUAUACACCCGGCGUUUAUUUUUUUAUUUUUUUUAUUAAUGUACCGGUACACAGCGGUGCACAGCGGCUGCGUAUGAAAUUAUGUUUUCCACGGAGAUAACUUACCGAUAUACGGACCCUUGAUAAUAUCGUACGUUAAUGACAUACCGUACUCGCGCGAAUAAGCGCCCGGGCGCUUAAAAUAUUUUUAGCACUUUUUGAGGGGUGCUUAUUCAAACGGGGCGCUUAUCAAAACAGAGUGGA